RNAcentral lists this ribosomal RNA (349 nucleotides) under Salmonella enterica subsp. enterica serovar Telelkebir. Its description in RNAcentral is "bacterial SSU rRNA". It matches the Rfam family "Bacterial small subunit ribosomal RNA", at positions 83 to 435 of the family's 1533-position model. Lineage: Bacteria; Pseudomonadati; Pseudomonadota; Gammaproteobacteria; Enterobacterales; Enterobacteriaceae. The record is from RNAcentral.
CUUCGCUGACGAGUGGCGGACGGGUGAGUAAUGUCUGGGAAACUGCCUGAUGGAGGGGGAUAACUACUGGAAACGGUGGCUAAUACCGCAUAACGUCGCAAGACCAAAGAGGGGGACCUUCGGGCCUCUUGCCAUCAGAUGUGCCCAGAUGGGAUUAGCUUGUUGGUGAGGUAACGGCUCACCAAGGCGACGAUCCCUAGCUGGUCUGAGAGGAUGACCAGCCACACUGGAACUGAGACACGGUCCAGACUCCUACGGGAGGCAGCAGUGGGGAAUAUUGCACAAUGGGCGCAAGCCUGAUGCAGCCAUGCCGCGUGUAUGAAGAAGGCCUUCGGGUUGUAAAGUACUU